AUACGUAGGGGGCAAGCGUUAUCCGGAUUUACUGGGUGUAAAGGGAGCGUAGACGGAAUGGCAAGUCUGAUGUGAAAGGCCGGGGCUCAACCCCGGGACUGCAUUGGAGACUGUCAGGCUAGAGUGCAGGAGGGGUAAGCGGAAUUCCUAGUGUAGCGGUGAAAUGCGUAGAUAUUAGGAGGAAUACCAGUUGCGAAGGCGGCUCUCUGGACUGUAACUGACACUGAGGCACGAAAGCGUGGGGAGCAAACAGGAUUAGAUACCCUGGUAGUCCACGCUAUAAACGAUGAGUGCUAGGUGUCGGGGGUCAAACCUCGGUGCCGCAGUUAACACAUUAAGCACUCCGCCUGGGGAGUACGGCCGCAAGGCUGAAACUCAAAGGAAUUGACGGGG
Molecule: ribosomal RNA, 393 nt
Filed under: uncultured bacterium
Lineage: Bacteria
Description: partial 16S ribosomal RNA
Rfam family: Bacterial small subunit ribosomal RNA
Source: RNAcentral